This is a long non-coding RNA of Alligator mississippiensis (American alligator), 2693 nucleotides long. RefSeq lists it as uncharacterized. The transcript has 3 exons. The record is from RefSeq and is a predicted model, not a curated record. NCBI's taxonomy places the organism in Eukaryota, Metazoa, Chordata, Crocodylia, Alligatoridae.
UGAAUCAUAGACAAGAAACUGAAACCAAGCAAAGCUCUGGAGUAUUUUUGACAGCCAAAUAGUCAGGUCAGAGCUAGGAAUAACAUCAUAUCCCUCAUUCCUGCUUCUAAUGACUGAUCAUUAUUUUAAAAUACCCAGGGAUUUGGUUCUUAUGCUAAAAUCAUCUUCUCUACAAAUGGUUUCCUAACAAGAGCCACCAAACAGAUGUUGGGUUGUGCUGAACCAGAUCAUAUUCAAAGUGAUUAGUCAGGAUUAAACACAGAGCCAGGGGAAACUCUACGGAAAUCUCAUCAUCUUCUAAAUUUCAUGUACAGCUGGGCUCAGAAGGUGGUGCUCAGAUCUGUAAUGGAGUUGCACUAGAAAGGAAUUCAGGUCUAAGUCCAAACCUGAGAUUAGGUUUCAAUUUGAUUGCACCAAAACUUCUGAGGCUGUUCUCAGGGGACUUCAGCUCCAAGGUGACCCACCAGUCUUAUGCAAUUUCCAUCAUGAGUUCUGCUGCCUUGGAUGGCAUUAAAACUGCAUCCAGCCACAGAGGGCUAGACCAGUUUGGGAGAUGCGUGGAUAAUUUUGAGUCCAGUGCUAAAUCCUCCUUUCUGCAAAUUGCAGUGUGCGGGUAGGGUUUCACACUUGCAGUCCCAUAACUGGUUUUGCUACAAUGCAGAACUCUGCUCAGGUUAUGUUCUGUUCCAUGUUACAUUCUGGAGCCUGAGCAGAUGUCUGGUUUCAUGUUGAAAUUAUGUAAAUUGUAAAUGAUGCAAAUUGUUUUGAAUGGCAGAUGAGAGGCACAGGGCAGCUGAAGCAGGAGCCUAAACACUAUGGAUAGAGAUACAAGGGCCAAAUUAGGAGCUCUGAUUUGGGGACUAAAGCAGCUCAGCUCAGUUCCUGCAGCCCAGGACAAGGUGAGGGGAAGAUAUAAAAAAAUAGUCAAAGUUCAAAGAGCCCAUCAGGCUACCAUGAUGAAGCGCACCAGUUUCUAUAACCAACAGUUCACAAGGGAGCCAUAUGGCUGGGAUCAUGUCCAGCUGCCUCAAACUCCUCUGGCUGAAUAACUAGGUGCCCAUUUAUAGCUGGGUUGACUGAGGGCAACCUGUGGCAAGAGUCAGAGCCUCACUCUGGACCCACACCUCUGAGUUAAGUAUAGACAGUCAAAAAGCCUGAGGCUGAAUCAAUUCAAUCUCUGCAGAUUAGUCUAAACUGAAUAGAUUGAACUGAUAAGCAAGUGAACAGACAUUCACUUUUGAUUCCAGAAAUGCAGCCACUUGCCUGCAGUGGCCUAGGCCAGAAGCUGAGGGGCACUAGAGCAUGCUUCCCUGAUCAGCAAGAUCAGACAGGUUGGGCCAAGGCUAGCCUGCCCACCUCUGCAAGGGUGGGGAGGGGAUUGCAGGGAGUUGUAAAGCAUCCUGGGAUGCUGGGGGACUGUGAGUUAACUUGAAUCUGGAAGAGAUCUGGGACAGAAGUUCAAUAAACAAAUGUAAUUUAAAUCAGUUAAUUCUGCUACUACAUCCAUCCAGGUUUAUCUUAAACCGGUUUUGGCCAUUUUGAAAGUGGUUUAUGUGCACUGAACUUCUGUUGCGUUACAGAUUUGAACUGGUUUCCAAUAACUUAUAUCUUCAUGUGUAAUUUCUGCCCCUUGCCUUAGAGCCAUUGCAAGACACACCUUAACUACUCUGUCAUCUAGUGCCAAGGCAAUACCGUAAGGAGGGAUGGGUAAGCAGGGCACAGGCUCCAGGCACUGUCUAAGGAGGGGGUACCAGAACUGAUGGGGAAGGGAAGAGAAGAGCAGUAUGUCAUGGAGUGCAGGGAACUCUGGGAAUAGUAGUAUUCUGGUGUAGCAGUGGAGUUUUCUGCUGCUGCUGGGGGGAGAUUUCAGCCCAUGCUUUUGCUGCCAAAAUCAGGUUUUUGCCCACUCAACCUGGGCAUUGGCAAUAAAAAGUGGGAUGAAUUCCUUCCCCUGCACCAGCAAAAUCUAGUGUCACUUUAGAAAAACUACAAUUCCCAGAGUUCCCUGCACACACACACACACACACACACACACACACACACACACACUCACUCACUCACUCACUCACUCUCACUCUCUCACUCUCUCUGCAUGCAUCCUGAAUUCUCUGGAGCCAAAGGCAGAGGGGGAAGGCAGAGCACAGUGAAUUCUUGGUUAAGGAAUUGUACCAUGGGGCAAAAAUGGACACUUCACAAAUUGUCUUUGCUGACCUUGGCUGCAGACUUGAUGAGUCCAGACCUCAAAUUACAGCAGCCCUGGGGCUUCUUUAAACUGUGAUAGUUUUUGAUAACUAGCUAUAGGCUGCUCCAGAACCCAGAAGAGCCAAAAUAAAGAAAAUUCAAAGCACAGCCCCUCCUGAUCAUCCUCUACACGGACAUGCCCCAUUGUUGGCAGGGCAAGCUCGCAACACAGGACCAGCCUCGCAUAACCCAGAGAACAGCAAGAAAAUUCCCAGCUGGUGGAUGGGAGGGGCUGACUAAAGGGCCAGAAUGAAGGCUACAGUGAGAGCCAGGAGAUAACUUAUCUCUUCAUAUAGGAGAUACAAACUUCCUGAGGUGCACCUUCAUUUUGAAUGUCUGUAUUUUUGAUCAUUUUAACCAUAAUAUGCUAGUCUAUUAAAUUUUGUACAACUGAAAUAUCUCUACUUAACUCAUUUUAAAGCUUUUGGAAUAAAAAUAUUGUCUUAGAUUUA